AUUGAACGCUGGCGGCAUGCCUAACACAUGCAAGUCGAACGGUAACAGGACUAGCUUGCUAGUUGCUGACGAGUGGCGGACGGGUGAGUAAUGUAUAGGGACUUGCCUAAUAGUGGGGGACAACAUGUGGAAACGCAUGCUAAUACCGCAUACGCUCUACGGAGGAAAGCGGGGGAUCUUCGGACCUCGUGCUAUUAGAUAGGCCUAUAUUGGAUUAGCUAGUUGGUAAGGUAAUGGCUUACCAAGGCGACGAUCCAUAGCUGGUUUGAGAGAAUGAUCAGCCACACCGGGACUGAGACACGGCCCAGACUCCUACGGGAGGCAGCAGUGGGGAAUAUUGCACAAUGGGCGAAAGCCUGAUGCAGCAAUGCCGCGUGUGUGAAGAAGGCCUUCGGGUUGUAAAGCACUUUCAGACGUGAGGAAAAGCAAUUUAUUAAUACUGAGUUGCCCUGACGUUAACGUCAGAAGAAGCACCGGCUAACUCCGUGCCAGCAGCCGCGGUAAUACGGAGGGUGCAAGCGUUAAUCAGAAUUACUGGGCGUAAAGCGCGCGUAGGCGGUUAUUUAAGUCAGAUGUGAAAUCCCUGGGCUCAACCUAGGAACUGCAUUUGAUACUGGAUAACUAGAGUAUGGUAGAGGUGAGCGGAAUUUCAGGUGUAGCGGUGAAAUGCGUAGAGAUCUGAAGGAACAUCAGUGGCGAAGGCGACUCACUGGGCCAUUACUGACGCUGAGGUGCGAAAGCGUGGGUAGCAAACAGGAUUAGAUACCCUGGUAGUCCACGCCCUAAACGAUGUCAACUAGGCGUAUGGAACUUUAUGUUCUGUGUAUCGAAGCUAACGCGAUAAGUUGACCGCCUGGGGAGUACGGUCGCAAGACUA
This 877-nucleotide ribosomal RNA is filed under the name uncultured bacterium. RNAcentral describes it as "bacterial SSU rRNA". It matches the Rfam family "Bacterial small subunit ribosomal RNA", at positions 28 to 896 of the family's 1533-position model. The record is from RNAcentral.